GAUGAAGAACGCAGCGAAAUGCGAUACGUAAUGUGAAUUGCAGAAUUCAGUGAAUCAUCGAGUCUUUGAACGCACAUUGCGCCCCCUGGUAUUCCGGGGGGCAUGCCUGUCCGAGCGUCAUUGCUGCCCUCAAGCACGGCUUGUGUGUUGGGCCUCCGUCCUCCUCCCGGGGGACGGGCCCGAAAGGCGGCGGCGGCACCGCGUCCGGUCCUCGAGCGUAUGGGGCUUCGUCACCCGCUCUUGUAGGCCCGGCCGGCGCUUGCCGACACAUCAAUCUUUUUUCCAGGUUGACCUCGGAUCAGGUAGGGAUACCCGCUGAACUUAAGCAUAUCAAUAAGCGGAGGA
This 345-nucleotide unclassified non-coding RNA is filed under the name soil metagenome. RNAcentral describes it as "partial contains 5.8S ribosomal RNA, internal transcribed spacer 2, and large subunit ribosomal RNA". The stretch from base 1 to 120 matches the Rfam family "5.8S ribosomal RNA", at positions 35 to 154 of the family's 154-position model. The record is from RNAcentral.